GAUGAACGCUAGCUACAGGCUUAACACAUGCAAGUCGCAUGGUAACAUGAGGAAAGCUUGCUUUCCUUGAUGACGACUGGCGCACGGGUGAGUAACGCGUAUCCAACUUUCUCUUAACUACGGGAUAACUCGUGGAACUACGGCUAAAUACCGUAAGACAUCGUUUGCUAACGUCAAGUAACGUUUUAAGGUUUAGGGUUGAAGGAUCGGGUUGCGUCUGAUUAGCUUGUUGGCGGGGUAACGGCCCACCGAGGCGACGCUCAGUAGGGGUUCUGAGAGGAAGGUACCCCGCAUUGGAACUGAGACACGGUCCAAACUCGUACGGGAGGCAGGAGUAAGGAAUAUAGGUCCAUGGGCGAGAGCCUGACCCUGCCAAGUAGCAUGCAGGAUGACGGACGUAUGGGUUGUAAACUGCUUUUAUGUGGGGGUAAAAUGCGAGUCGUGUCAUGCAUUGCAGGUACCCCAUGAAUAAGGACCGGCUAAUUCCGUG
RNAcentral lists this ribosomal RNA (490 nucleotides) under uncultured bacterium. RNAcentral's name for it is "partial 16S ribosomal RNA". It matches the Rfam family "Bacterial small subunit ribosomal RNA", at positions 28 to 507 of the family's 1533-position model. The record is from RNAcentral.